UCGACGGGUCGCGACUGGCGUUCAGAUGGUCGACCAUCGGGGAGCGACGCACACACGGUACGUGGCCGUACGCCUGGGCCACCACG
RNAcentral lists this non-coding RNA (86 nucleotides) under Frigoribacterium sp. Leaf164. RNAcentral describes it as "ZMP/ZTP riboswitch aptamer (pfl RNA motif)". It matches the Rfam family "ZMP/ZTP riboswitch aptamer (pfl RNA motif)". Rfam says of the family: Previously known as pfl RNA. Lineage: Bacteria; Bacillati; Actinomycetota; Actinomycetes; Micrococcales; Microbacteriaceae. RNAcentral also lists the same sequence under 1 other name. The record is from Rfam by way of RNAcentral.